AAGUAACAAAGGGUGUUUAGUGGAUGCCUUGGCAAUCAGAGGCGAUGAAGGACGUGAAAGACUGCGAUAAGUCCGGGUGAGGCGUCAAUAUCCUUUGACCCCGGAAUUUCCGAAUGGGGAAACCCANNNNNNNNNNNNNNNNNNNNNNNNNNNNNNUAUCUUUGACUGAAUACAUAGGUCAAAGAAGCAAACGCGGAGAAGUGAAACAUCUCAGUACCCGCAGGAAAAGAAAGCAAUAGCGAUUCCCUUAGUAGUGGCGAGCGAAACGGGACCAGCCCAGUGACCGAGAUUUUAGAUAGCAAAAUGUGGUGGAAAACACAGCAACAAUAGGUGAUAGCCCUGUAUGCGAAAUCUAGUUUUUUGGUUCAAGAGUAGAGCCGGACACGUGAAAUCCGGUUUGAAUACGGGGGGACCUUCCCCCAAGGCUAAAUACUCCUGAUUGACCGAUAGUGAACAAGUACCGUGAGGGAAAGGUGAAAAGAACCCCGAAGGGGGAGUGAAAUAGACACUGAAACUGAAUACCUACAAGCUGUCAGAGCCGGUUUUCCGGUGAUGGCGUACCUUUUGUAUAAUGAGCCAACGAGUUAUUAUUGCAUGCAAGCCUAAGUCGUUAGAUGUAAGCGUAGGGAAACCGAGUCUGAAUAGGGCGAAUUGAGUAUGCAGUAAUAGACCCGAAGCGGGGUGAUCUAGGUAUGGGCAGGCUGAAGGCGGCGUAACAGUCGCUGGAGGGCCGAACGCACCAAUAUGGCAACAUUGGGCGAUGACCUGUGUCUAGGGGUGAAAAGCCAAUCGAACCCCGUUAUAGCUGGUUCUCCGCGAAAACUAUAGAGGUAGUGUCUUGUGUGUUCCUUGUUGGGGGUAAAGCACUGAAAUGGCUAGGGGGAGUAAAAUCUUACCAACCCAUAUCAAACUCUGAAUACCAGCAAGUCAUAGCACAGGAAACAGUCCAUCGGUGCUAAGGUCGGUGGACGAGAGGGCAACAGCCCAGACCGCCAAAUAAGGUCCCAAAAUAAUGAUUAAGUGGGAAAGUGAGUCGAGAUUCCAAAACAACCAGGAUGUUGGCUUGGAAGCAGCCAUCGUUUAAAGAAAGCGUAAUAGCUCACUGGUCUAUUAGAGUUUCGGCAACGAAAAUGUAACGGGGCUAAAAUCAUUUACCGAAUUUGCGGGUGGCACGUAAGUGUCGCGGUAGCGGAGCAUUCUGUAAGCCUGUGAAGCUGAAGGCGCGAGCCACGGUGGAGGUAUCAGAAGCGCGAAUGUUGGCAUGAGUAGCAGCUAAUCAAGGUGAGAAACCUUGACGCCGUAAGAGCAAGGGUUCCUAUCCAAUGUUAAUCAGGGUAGGGUGAGUCGACCCCUAAGGCGAGGCCGAAAGGCGUAGUCGAUGGGAACACGGUUAAUAUUCCGUGACCUGCGUGAGAGUGACGAAUUCCGUAAAUUGUGUCGCCUUAUUGGAUUGGUGAUGCAGUGAAGGGGUUCCAGGAAAUAGCCCACGCGUAUAGAUCGUACCCAGAACCAACACAGGUGCUCGAGUCGAGUAGACUAAGGCGGUUGAGAGAACUAUGUUGAAGGAACUAGGCAAAAUGCAUCCGUAACUUCGGAAUAAGGAUGACCUGUUUCAAGGCAACUUUAAUCAGGUGACACAAACCAGGUGGGGGCGACUGUUUACUUAAAACCCAGGUCUCUGCUAAAUCGUAUAAGAUGAUGUAUAGGGACUGACGCCUGCCCAGUGCUGGAAGGUUAAGCAGAGGUGUGCAAGCAUUGAUGUGAAGCCCCAGUAAACGGCGGCCGUAACUCUAACGGUCCUAAGGUAGCGAAAUUCCUUGUCGGGUAAGUUCCGACCCGCAUGAAUGGCGUAACGAUCUCCACACUGUCUCCAACAUAGACUCAGCGAAAUUGAAUUCUCGGUGAAAAUGCCGGGUACCCGCAGCUAGACGGAAAGACCCUAUGAAGCUUUACUGCAGUUUCGUACUGGCACUAGGACUCAUUUGCGUAGGAUAGGUGGGACGCUUUGAAGGGCGGAUCUUGGUUCGCCUGGAGCGGUUGGUGAAAUACCACCCUUGUGUGUUUUAGUGUCUAACCCGCGUUCUUGAACCAGGGCGGGGGACAGUGCGUGAUGGGCAGUUUGACUGGGGUGGUCGCCUCCCAAAGUGUACCGGAGGCGCGCGAAGGUUUGCUCAGGCUGGUCGGAAAUCAGCCGGUGAGUGCAAUGGCAAAAGCAAGCCUGACUGCAAGGGGGACACCCCGAGCAGAGACGAAAGUCGGUCAUAGUGACCCGGUGGCUCCGCAUGGAAGGGCCAUCGCACACGGAUAAAAGCUACUCUAGGGAUAACAGGCUGAUGCUACCCAAGCGUCCAUAGCGACGGUAGUGUUUGGCACCUCGAUGUCGACUCAUCGCAUCCUGGGGCUGGAGCAGGUCCCAAGGGUAUGGCUGUUCGCCAUUUAAAGCGGUACGUGAGUUGGGUUAAUAACGUCGUGAGACAGUUAGGUCCCUAUCUACUGUGGGCGUUGGAUAUUUGAGCGAACUUGACCUUAGUACGAGAGGACCGGGUCGAACGAACCUCUGGUGUACCUGUUGUCGCGCCAGCGGCACCGCAGGGUAGCUAUGUUCGGAACAGAUAACCGCUGAAAGCAUCUAAGCGGGAAGCUGGUCGCAAGAUAAGAUAUCCCCAUGAGUUCAGUUCUAGACUAGGACAUUGAUAGGAUGGCGGUGUAAGCCCUGCGAGGGGUUUAGCUUACCAUUACUAAUCGAACCAUUGACUU
This 2757-nucleotide ribosomal RNA is filed under the name bovine gut metagenome. RNAcentral's name for it is "Bacterial large subunit ribosomal RNA". It matches the Rfam family "Bacterial large subunit ribosomal RNA". The record is from RNAcentral.